This 550-nucleotide ribosomal RNA is filed under the name uncultured bacterium. RNAcentral's name for it is "bacterial SSU rRNA". It matches the Rfam family "Bacterial small subunit ribosomal RNA", at positions 355 to 896 of the family's 1533-position model. The record is from RNAcentral.
UAGGGAAUCUUCGGCAAUGGACGGAAGUCUGACCGAGCAACGCCGCGUGAGUGAAGAAGGUUUUCGGAUCGUAAAGCUCUGUUGUAAGAGAAGAACGAGUGUGAGAGUGGAAAGUUCACACUGUGACGGUAUCUUACCAGAAAGGGACGGCUAACUACGUGCCAGCAGCCGCGGUAAUACGUAGGUCCCGAGCGUUGUCCGGAUUUAUUGGGCGUAAAGCGAGCGCAGGCGGUUAGAUAAGUCUGAAGUUAAAGGCUGUGGCUUAACCAUAGUACGCUUUGGAAACUGUUUAACUUGAGUGCAAGAGGGGAGAGUGGAAUUCCAUGUGUAGCGGUGAAAUGCGUAGAUAUAUGGAGGAACACCGGUGGCGAAAGCGGCUCUCUGGCUUGUAACUGACGCUGAGGCUCGAAAGCGUGGGGAGCGAACAGGAUUAGAUACCCUGGUAGUCCACGCCGUAAACGAUGAGUGCUAGGUGUUAGGCCCUUUCCGGGGCUUAGUGCCGCAGCUAACGCAUUAAGCACUCCGCCUGGGGAGUACGACCGCAAGGUUG